GAGGGUAUAGCCCAGUGGUAAAGUGUAUGCUUAGCAUGCACAAGGUCCUGGGUUCAGUCCCCAGUACUUUCA
Molecule: transfer RNA, 72 nt
Filed under: Camelus bactrianus (Bactrian camel)
Lineage: Eukaryota; Metazoa; Chordata; Mammalia; Artiodactyla; Camelidae
Also listed under: 2 other names
Rfam family: tRNA
About the family: Transfer RNA (tRNA) molecules are approximately 80 nucleotides in length.
Source: Rfam by way of RNAcentral